GUCUAUAAAAUAGGUGCCCUUCUACUUGCCGCUAAAUCCCGCGCUGAUGGCGAAUCUGGCGGCCCAGCUCGCUGGCGUGCUCCAAGCAUGCAUCAAGCGGAACCCAAAGCCCAGCCGCACCCACGCCAAGGCCGCCCACGCGCGCGUCCUUGCCGGUGGCCUCGCCGCCGACACCUUCCUCCUCAACCGCCUGGUCGAGCUCUACUCGCUCUCCGGCCUCCCGCGCGACGCCCUCCGCGUCUUCCGCACCCUGCCCCACCCCAACGCCUACUCCUACAAUGCGGCGCUCUCGGCGGCCAGCCGCGCGGGCGACCUCGACGCGGCCCGGACGCUGCUCGACGAAAUGCCCGAGCCGAACGUCGUCUCCUGGAACACCGUCAUCUCCGCGCUCGCGCGGUCCGAGCGCGCGGGCGAGGCGCUGGGGCUGUACGAAGGGAUGCUCCGGGAGGGCCUCAUCCCGACGCACUUCACGCUCGCCAGCGUGCUCAGCGCUUGCGGCUCCAUGGCCGCGCUCGUGGACGGGAGGCGCUGCCACGGGCUCGUGGUCAAGGUCGGGCUUGAAGAGAACCUGUUCGUGGAGAACGCGCUCGUUGGCAUGUAUACCAAGUGCGGCAGCGUCGGGGAUGCUGUGCGGCUGUUCGACCGGAUGGCUCGCCCGAACGAGGUGUCGUUCACGGCGAUGAUGGGAGGGCUCGCGCAGACCGGGUCCGUCGACGAUGCGCUCAGGCUGUUCGCCAGGAUGUGCAGGAGCGGGGUACAUGUUGAUCCCGUGGCCGUGUCAAGUGUUCUGGGCUCGUGCGCACAAGCUGGCGCCAGCGAGUUCAACGUUCUUCGCUCGUUCCAGCUUGGGCAGUGCAUUCACGCCUUGAUCAUCAGAAAAGGCUUUGGGGCAGACCAGCAUGUGGGGAACUCCUUGAUCGAUAUGUACACCAAGUGCAUGCAAAUGGACGAUGCUGUCAAGGUGUUCGACUCAUUGCCCAGCGUCAGUAUUGUUUCUUGGAACAUCCUUAUAACUGGAUUCGGCCAGGCGGGCAGCUAUGAGAAGGCUUUGGAAGUAUUGAACGUGAUGGUAGAGUCGGGCUCUGAGCCCAAUGAGGUCACUUACAGUAACAUGCUUGCGUCCUGUAUUAAGGCGAGGGAUGUUCCAUCUGCUCGUGCAAUGUUCGACAAUAUAUCAAGGCCGACUUUGACUACGUGGAACACGCUUUUGUCUGGUUACUGCCAGGAGGAACUGCAUCAAGAAACAAUCGAGCUGUUUAGGAAAAUGCAGCAUCAAAAUGUGCAGCCUGACCGAACAACUCUGGCCGUGAUCCUCAGUUCAUGCUCAAGAUUGGGGAAUUUGGACCUUGGAGCACAAGUUCAUUCUGCUUCAGUAAGACUCCUGUUGCAUAACGACAUGUUUGUCGCUAGUGGUUUGGUCGAUAUGUAUGCAAAAUGUGGACAGAUUAGUAUUGCCAGGAGCAUUUUCAACAGGAUGACAGAGAGAGAUGUGGUGUGUUGGAAUUCCAUGAUCUCAUGUUUGGCUAUCCAUUCUUUCAACAAAGAGGCCUUUGAUUUCUUCAAGCAGAUGCGACAAAAUGGAAUGAUGCCCACAUCCUCCUCCUAUGCUACCAUGAUUAAUUCAUGUGCAAGACUUUCUUCCGUACCUCAAGGUAGGCAGAUACAUGCACAAGUUGCGAAAGAUGGUUAUGAUCAGAAUGUCUAUGUGGGUAGUGCCCUGAUUGAUAUGUAUGCUAAAUGUGGCAACAUGGACGAUGCACGCCUUUCCUUCGACAGCAUGGUGACUAAGAAUAUAGUUGCAUGGAAUGAGAUGAUACAUGGAUAUGCUCAGAAUGGUUUCGGAGAAAAAGCCGUUGAACUAUUUGAGUAUAUGUUAACUACAGAACAGCGGCCAGAUAGUGUCACUUUCAUUGCCGUCCUAACAGGAUGUAGUCACUCCGGGCUCGUAGAUGAAGCCAUUGCAUUCUUUAAUUCCAUGGAGAGUACUUACAGAAUUACACCACUGGCUGAGCAUUACACUUGUCUCAUAGAUGGAUUGGGGCGAGCGGGUCGGCUUGUUGAAGUGGAGGCACUAAUAGAACAGAUGCCAUGCAAAGAUGAUCCUAUAGUGUGGGAAGUUCUACUUGCUGCCUGUGCUGUACAUCACAAUGCUGAAUUGGGGGAAUGUGCCGCGCAGCACCUGUUCCACCUUGAUCCAAAGAACCCAUCACCCUAUGUUCUCUUGUCAAACAUAUAUGCUUCCUUAGGCCGACAUGGGGAUGCAUCAGGCAUUAGGGCAUUGAUGAUUAGCCGUGGAGUUGUCAAAGGUCGUGGAUACAGCUGGAUAGAUCACAAGGAUGAUGUUCGUGCCUUUAUGGUUGCUGAUGAUCUUCAGACGGUCAGUGGAGAAUCUAAAAUGUUCAGCAAUCAAGAGAGUGCUGCUGGGGUUACAGAAGUACACCAGAAAGAGACAUGUGCUGGUUGAUUUGGGCUUUUUGUUAUCAGACGCACUGGUGAAUCUGUUUCAGUGAUAGCUGAAUUCAGUAGCCACUUUUGUGCAAUUUGCUUGAGAGCCUCAAGCUUUACUGUUGUAUGUAGCUUCAUGUGUCUGGAAGAUGGGAAACACAGCCUGAAGGUUCAGUAGAAAGAAUAUGCAAGACAGGAAUGGGUUGCGUUGCAGAUUAGGUGCUAAUGAAAUUAUAUGCUCGGUUCAUGUCACUACGUGGUGCAGAGCUUCAUCGAUGAGCAUGUACUACGAUGAGUUGUGCAUGUGAGAGCGCAAAAGCAAUUGUUGCCCGGUUAUACGAGGGAUGCAAUAACUGCAUUCAUAGCUUCACAAUGGUUGAUUUAAAAGCCAGUGGAUAUAACUUUUGGAUAAUCAUUAUCUGGCUUCGCUUCCCAUUCUGUCCAAGAUCCGCCGUAAACUGGAACGUCAUGCUUCCCAAUUCUAUAGUCCCUGUAAAGAAAUAUUGUUAGACACUGCUUGGCAGAGUCAAUGUCUCAGUGAUAAUAUCCAAGAAGAACAUGCCAGAUUUCCAGACCAGAGCAAAGUAUGCAGGCAGUUACACCAGAUCUGCAUGUGAUGUGAUGACUAUCGGUUGAUCAAAGUGAAGUCCCUGAAGAGACAUCAAACCGGGUGCUAUUAUUACUAUUGCUUGGUGAAACUUUUGUACUUCAUGUACACAUCUGAUAGGCCCAAGAAAUGAUUGCUUCUUAGGAGAUGCAACAAUACAGAGGGGGGAAAGGAUCUUCUAGGUAUAUGACUUUGGUAUGCUGCAAUGUGGAACUCUGUAGCAAAAUCCUCAUUGGCGGGAUGAUAACGAGGCUGAUGCACCACUAGGUGGGAAAAGAACCGGCGAUGGUCUUUGGUGUGUGUGUUGUGUUCCAUGACGAAGACCGCUGUUGUUCCUUCCGCGACAGUGUUCGAGUCUGAAGAUGGUUAACUCGGAUUUGUUGUUCCUCUCUAUACCAUCUAUUUUGUUUGCCUGUAGAUUAUCAUAUUCACAAGUGUGGCUGGUUCCUUGUGUAAUACUUGUGUUUGUUGUCUACAUCUUUCUGAAUUAAGACUUGUCUGGAAAUCUGAGAACUGAAGGUUACCAGAGGCUGUAGUUACGGUGCAAGGUGGGCCAGCGAAUUUUAGUACUCCCUCCGAUCCAUUGAAUUGUACUAAAGCAGUGACAAUUAAUAUGGAUCAGAGGGAGUAUGGGAAAUUUUGUGUGAACUGGGGUUUCAAGAAGUUGCAUGAAUCGUCUUUGGAACGUCUUGGUUAGCAAUCUCCCACGCCGUGCUUUUGUCAAACACGAUAAUACGAGAUGCAAGAGAGGAAAUGUACAAGGUUUCUCCAAAGUAAGAGUAAUAUUGCACUUGUGUUAUGGUUCGUUUGAGAACCGUAAAUAAAGCCAGGGUUGCAACAUCUUUGAAACAAGUUUAGCCAGCAAGUCAUCUAUACUGUAUAUUUGAUCCAUGCUUUACUUAGAAAAGUUUUUUUGUCAUCUCAACUCACCAUACAGAAUUGUUUAAACGAACCUCUCUUUGCUUUUCAGAUAUCAACAUCCAGAUGCAUAGCCAUGUCAGUGCACCUUCAGUCGAUGUCGAUGCUCAGCAGAGGAUUAAUACCACAAUGGGGCGAGUGGAGGCAGCGACGGACAGUUGUUCUUUUCAUUCAGAAGAUGGAAUAUGAGUUGAUUGAGUUCCAUUAACUGUGACUCCAACCAAAUCACCUGUGGUCUGCUAUGCUGUCGCAAGAUCUGGCACAGACUUGCAAUGAAGCCUGCUGUCAUAUGCAAUGCCCAUCUUAGGUGUCUUGGUUAAAAACUUUCUAUUGCCAUGUGCCUGCAAGACAUGCCCUUCUCAGCGCAUUGCAAGAACACGAACCACUCAAGCGAAACACUGAAAUAUAAGAAUGUAAAACGACAUCAAGUAACCAUGCAAAGGAAGCUGAUAUCAGAAAGUACUUCCACGAAACAACGCAGUUUCAUACUCUGUAUAUGUUUUUAACACCUCAAUGGCAGCAAUGACCGCGGAUAAAAUCAUGAUGCU
This is an RNA transcript of Triticum aestivum (bread wheat), 4518 nucleotides long. It is a transcript of the gene named pentatricopeptide repeat-containing protein At4g20770, with no coding region annotated. NCBI's taxonomy places the organism in Eukaryota, Viridiplantae, Streptophyta, Magnoliopsida, Poales, Poaceae. The transcript has 3 exons. The record is from RefSeq and is a predicted model, not a curated record.